This 468-nucleotide ribosomal RNA is filed under the name uncultured bacterium. RNAcentral describes it as "partial 16S ribosomal RNA". It matches the Rfam family "Bacterial small subunit ribosomal RNA", at positions 36 to 507 of the family's 1533-position model. The record is from RNAcentral.
UCCUCCCUCUGGCGGCGUGCUUAACACAUGCAAGUCGAACGGAAAGGCCCUGCUUUUGUGGGGUGCUCGAGUGGCGAACGGGUGAGUAACACGUGAGUAACCUGCCCUUGACUUUGGGAUAACUUCAGGAAACUGGGGCUAAUACCGGAUAGGAGCUCCUGCUGCAUGGUGGGGGUUGGAAAGUUUCGGCGGUUGGGGAUGGACUCGCGGCUUAUCAGCUUGUUGGUGGGGUAGUGGCUUACCAAGGCUUUGACGGGUAGCCGGCCUGAGAGGGUGACCGGACACAUUGGGACUGAGAUACGGCCCAGACUCCUACGGGAGGCAGCAGUGGGGAAUAUUGCACAAUGGGCGGAAGCCUGAUGCAGCAACGCCGCGUGCGGGAUGACGGCCUUCGGGUUGUAAACCGCUUUCGCCUGUGACGAAGCGUGAGUGACGGUAAUGGGUAAAGAAGCACCGGCUAACUACGUG